RNAcentral lists this transfer RNA (67 nucleotides) under Cucujoidea sp. 41 KM-2017. RNAcentral describes it as "tRNA-Ser". Lineage: Eukaryota; Metazoa; Arthropoda; Insecta; Coleoptera. The record is from RNAcentral.
GAAAUAAGGAAACCAAAACUAAGCUUCUAACUUAAGUUUUAAGCAGUGCAAUUCUGUUUUUAUUUCU